CCUACGGGGGACUGCAGUGAGGAAUAUUGGUCAAUGGGCGCUAGCCUGAACCAGCCAAGUAGCGUGAAGGAUGACUGCCCUAUAGGUUGUAAACUUCUUUUAUAUGGGAAUAAAGUGCAGUAUGUAUACUGCUUUGCAUGUACCUUAUGAAUAAGGAUCGGCUAACUCCGUGCCAGCAGCCGCGGUAAUACGGAGGAUCCGAGCGUUAUCCGGAUUUAUGGGGUUUAAGGGGUGCGUAGGCGGGCUUUUACGUCGGCGGUAAAAAUUCGGGGCUAAACCCCGUACGGCCGUUGAAACUGGGGGCCUUGAGUGGGCGAGAGGAAGGCGGAAUGCGGGGUGUAGCGGUGAAAUGCAUAGAUAUCACGCAGAACACCGAUUGCGAAGGCAGCCUACCGGCGCCUAACUGACGCUGAGGCACGAAAGUGCGGGGAUCGAACAGGAUUAGAUACCCGGGUAGUC
This 459-nucleotide ribosomal RNA is filed under the name uncultured bacterium. RNAcentral's name for it is "partial 16S ribosomal RNA". It matches the Rfam family "Bacterial small subunit ribosomal RNA", at positions 338 to 795 of the family's 1533-position model. The record is from RNAcentral.